ACCCCAGGAGAGUUCUGUACAGAGUCUGGUGAGGUUUUAAAGUUGAGUCAGUGCAGAGUAAAGCUUGUUUUCGACUUGUCUAUGUGUGUUUUUAAUAUGCUUAAGUGCUUAUACUUGUUUAUGUGCUUGUUUGCUAUGAGUUUGAGUCGAGUUGAGAGUUAAGUCGAAAAUUGGACGUGUGAAUCCUUAGAAGCCAAGUAUACCUAGGGAUUGAGUUUUAACGGGUAAAUAGACGUUGAGUGAGAAGUUAGAGUAAAGAAGAGAUUGGAUUUAGAAUUUGAGUUUCUGACUAAGGUUUGUUUUAUCACAUGAACCUUCGAUGACGAUGACGAUGUGAUGAUGACAUAUGAAGGCCCGAGCGAGACGAAGAAGUAAGUUGCCUGAUUUCUUUCCAGAAUAAGCGAAGGACUUCAGGCUAAGCUGGGAGUGAGAUUGGACUGGUGCUGAUGGGGGAGAGUUUCAAAUGAUGUAAAUUAAAUUACUAUUUUGCCUCUAUGAUAAUAGAGUCUUGAUGUUUGAAUUACUUAGUUUCUUUUGAGAUCAAGCAAUACACUCACGGUUAUGUGUCUUCAUACAUAUAAUCGGUUCGCCUUUUGCUGCGAUACUCUGCAAAUUAUGCUUCCUUAUGAAAAAUGAACUAUACGCGUUUUGUUUUUGUUCGUGAAAUUCCUAAUAAUUAAAAAGUUAUGACAAUGUUGACGAUUUUA
Molecule: long non-coding RNA, 707 nt
Organism: Salvia miltiorrhiza (redroot sage)
Lineage: Eukaryota; Viridiplantae; Streptophyta; Magnoliopsida; Lamiales; Lamiaceae
Exons: 2
Source: RefSeq, a predicted model, not a curated record